UUCCAGACUCCUACGGGAGGCAGCAGUGGGGAAUAUUGGGCAAUGGGCGCAAGCCUGACCCAGCAACGCCGCGUGAAGGAAGAAGGCUUUCGGGUUGUAAACUUCUUUUGUCAGGGACGAAGCAAGUGACGGUACCUGACGAAUAAGCCACGGCUAACUACGUGCCAGCAGCCGCGGUAAUACGUAGGUGGCAAGCGUUAUCCGGAAUUAUUGGGUGUAAAGGGUGCGUAGACGGAAGAACAAGUUGGUUGUGAAAUCCCUCGGCUCAACUGAGGAACUGCAACCAAAACUAUUCUCCUUGAGUGUCGGAGAGGAAAGCGGAAUUCCUAGUGUAGCGGUGAAAUGCGUAGAUAUUAGGAAGAACACCAGUGGCGAAGGCGGCUUUCUGGACUGAAACUGACGCUGAGGCACGAAAGCGUGGGGAGCGAACAGGAUUAGAUACCCGCGUA
RNAcentral lists this ribosomal RNA (449 nucleotides) under uncultured bacterium. RNAcentral's name for it is "bacterial SSU rRNA". It matches the Rfam family "Bacterial small subunit ribosomal RNA", at positions 329 to 792 of the family's 1533-position model. The record is from RNAcentral.